Gordionus sp. m RMFG-2023 is the source of this 408-nucleotide long non-coding RNA. RefSeq lists it as uncharacterized. The record is from RefSeq and is a predicted model, not a curated record. The transcript has 3 exons. NCBI's taxonomy places the organism in Eukaryota, Metazoa, Nematomorpha, Gordioida, Chordodea, Parachordodidae.
UAAGUUGCACCUUAUGGUUAAAUUAUACUGAAUAAAAUGUCAAUGAAAACUGAUACUUAUUGUGAAUGAAUUAUAGAAAUAAAUAUAUGAAUAUAACAUAGCCAAAGGCCUAUAAAAGGUAGAUCUAACAACCUCCAGACAUGGAGAAAGACCCCAUAUAGUAGUCCCCCCUCUCUCACUCUUUAGUAAAACUCUGGCUAUGCCUAUCAUCAGCGUCUAGAAAAGCGGGGGGAGGAAGUGUAGGAAGUCUUCUAUUACCUGGUUGUCGGAGAAAUGGGGGAUUAAAAUUGGAAAUAAAUCGGUUGGUUUAUACGUUAAUUGCUUUCUCUUUAUAUUUUUUCUUCUCUGUUAAUUUAUAAAAGGAAAAAUUUUGUUAUUUUAUUUAUCGGAAUAUUUAUUUUCAUUUAA